ACAUACAGACAUUACAAGUAGGAGAAAAAUUGGCUCGGGAUACUUCAGACUGCUCAAGACGCCAGGUGUGAGAAGCAAAAUGGUUUUUUUCCCUCUCGACAACACAACAGCAGACAUGAUUGAGCCAGGAGGUAGUAACAAAGCUGACAAGACUAGAUGAAUGAGAAACUGUAAAAUAAACAUGUUCAGGCAGGAAAUGAUGCUGGAACCAGCAGAGAAUAAAAUGGAAUCAGUAAAGACGGUACAUUUGAUGAGUGGUAUAUUUUAUCCUAUUGAAAAUCUGGCAGGAUGUUUAGCUCAAGGUGAAGGGAUGGACUUGGAAUGCUCUCAAGUCAAGGAGUCGUGAAUUUUGAGUGGAGAUGCUGCCAGACUUGCUGGGUUUCUCCAGCAAUUCCUUUUUCAGAACUCCAGUAUCCGCAGAUCUUUGUUGUGUUUCAGUCGUGUAUUAUCCAUUCGACGGGAGGCUAAAUCCAAAAUCAUCUGCCUCGCUUUGGGACCUGAUGUUAAAUCAAUACCCCAUCAGUCCCCAGGUGAGUCAUAAACAUCUGGGAAUGCUAUUCCAAAGAAGUGCUGGGAACCUUUCCCAUGUACAACUUCACAAAAGCAGACUAUCUGAUGAUUCUCAUGAGACUGCUUGUGAGACUUCGCAUUACACAUCUGGCUGCCACGUUUCUUCCAUUGCAACAGUGACUACACAUCAAAGAAGUGCUUCAUUGGCUAGAAACUGCUUUGGCUCAUAACAUGGUUCCAUGUAAAUGCAAGUCCUACUUCCUAAGCUUUUCUGUUUUGGCAACAAAACAGCCAGCACCAAGCCAAACCAAUGCUUCUUAUUUCUCAUUCUGGUCAUUUGAUUAUGUGCUUUCCCAGAGAAGUACUGCACUCUAUAUAUAAGGUAAACAGAAGUUUAUUGUUUGCUUGUAGACUGAAAAAGGCAUCCAGACAUUAUUUUCCCCAUUGAAAACCAUAUCACUUGUGAGUGGCUAUGCAAAAUUCAUCCUGCCUAAGGCAAUAUGUAAAUUUGUGUCCUUUCACUCUCUGAUUCUUUGUCGAUGCUGCUGCUGCACAUAAAGAUAUGUGACAAAA
Non-coding RNA from Chiloscyllium plagiosum (whitespotted bambooshark), 1083 nucleotides. The record is from RefSeq and is a predicted model, not a curated record. Lineage: Eukaryota; Metazoa; Chordata; Chondrichthyes; Orectolobiformes; Hemiscylliidae.